AUGGGGGAGGUGGAUUUGGAGGAUGUGGUGUUCUCCUGGUCGGCCCAGGAGAUCGCCGACGACGACCUCUACAGGGGCAAGGUUGUAACCAUUCCCUGCAACUUCAAGUCACUUGAUCACUAUCUUGUAUCGUUUCGUGUUCCUCUGAUUGAAGAAACAAGGUCAGAUCUGUGCUCAUGCCUUCAACUCAUCAGUGAAGCACCCUCGUCGCAAAUACUUUCCAUGGAGGUGGCGGGGAAAUCGGGAUCAUACUUUAUGGAUGUGGACUUUUGGGAUAAUGAUGCUGGUUUUUCUACUGGGAAUUAUACUAUGAGGAAUGGUGACAUAUUAAUUUUGUCUAGCAUAAAACCUGAAGCUGCAGAGGACUUAAACCACCAUGGUCUGACAUACUGCUUGGCAAUGGUUACUGAGGUUUCUAUAGAUGAUGAAUGCCAGAAGGGCUUCAGAGUCAAAGUUGCAAAGAAUAAUUGUUUGGAAGAAGAAGAUUUAAACAAACUCAAGCAUGCAAUAUUUCUCAACAAUAUCACGACAAACAUGCAGAUAUGGAAAGCACUUACCUUUGAUACGCACAUGGAUAACAAUUUCACAGUAAUCAAGUCGCUCUUAGACCCCACAGAUCUGGGUCAGGAUGUUUGUGAUGUCUGUAUUAAACAGGAUAGGGGUUGUUUGGCUUCUUUCACAGAGCAACUACUUUCGAUUAAGCUUAAUCGAUCACAAAUUGAUGCUAUUGAAUCUGUCAUCUCAGCUGUACAAUGUGAGCAUGUGAACCUCAUGAAGCUUAUAUGGGGUCCACCAGGUACUGGAAAGACAAAUACAGUUAGCGCUUUAUUGUGGGUUUUGGCGCAUUUGAAAUGCAGAACUCUUGCUUGUGCUCCCACUAAUGUUGCUGUUAUUGGAGUUUGCACUCGUUUCCUUCAAAAACUGAAGGAUUUCAAUGAGAUCAUUGAUGAAAAUGGUCUACCUUUUUCUGUUGGAGAUAUCUUGCUCUUUGGAAGCAGGUCUAACAUGGACAUCACCGAGGAUCUUCAGGAAGUUUUCUUGGAUUUUCGUGCCGACCAACUUGCGGAAUGCUUUUCAUCGUCGUCCGGAUGGAACUACAGAAUAGCUUCAAUGGCAUCCUUUUUUGAAGACUGUGCUUCACGGUAUGAUAUGCUUCUUGAGGAUGAUGACAAAAUUGGUCCAGUGUGCUUUCUGGACUUCAUUAAGAAGCAAUUUGAUGCAACAGCAAUAGCUCUGAAAAAAUGCAUAAUGAAUUUGUGGCUUCACCUUCCUGGAAGGUGCUUUUCUCAUGAUAGUGUCAUAAAUAUAUCUACGUUGCUUGAUAUGCUGGAAAAAUUUGGCGCCCUUCUGUGCAACAUAGACUUGACCGAUGAGGGCUUGAAAAGGGGCCUUGGUUGUCUAUCAACUGAAAACUCUGUUUGUGCAAAGCCUAUAUCUUCAAUUGAGAAGGAACUUGAUGGAGCAAGGUUUACAUGCCUUAAGUUGCUUAAAGAUCUGCUACACUCGCUUAACUUACCCACUGGAGUAGACAAAAACUGGGUCAAGAACUACUGCAUACGUAAUGCAACACUUCUUUUCUGUACUGCCUCUAGUUCUUAUCGGUUACAUCACAUGGAUAUUGCACCCCUCGAUGUAUUAAUUGUUGAUGAGGCUUCUCAAGUGCGGGAGUGUGAAUUGGUGAUCUCAUUACGGCUACAUUGGCUAAAACAUGUUGUUUUGGUAGGGGAUGACUGUCAGCUGAGUGCGAUAGUUAAAAGCAAAGUAUGUAAAGAAGCUGGAUUUGGAACAAGUCUUUUUGGGAGACUGGUUACGCUAAAAUUUGAAAAACAUUUGCUGAAUAUACAGUAUCGCAUGAAUCCUUGUAUCAGCUUAUUUCCAAAUGCUCAGUUUUAUGAGAGGAAGAUUUUAGAUAGUUCCAGUGUCCUGUCUCCUAGCUAUAAUAAGGAUUACAGAUGCCUCCCUUUUGGCAGCUACACAUUUAUAAAUGUCAUUGAUGGAAGAGAAGACAAAGAGGACAUGGGAAACAGUCGGAGAAACAUGGUUGAAGUUGCUAUUGUUUUGCACCUAAUCCAUACCAUCUUUAAAUCUUGGAAAAAGACAGGCCAAGGUUUCAGCAUCGGCGUGGUUUCUCCAUAUAAUGCUCAAGUUGAUGCAAUUAAAAUUAGACUUGGCAAAAAAUACGAUGCAUGUGAUGGCUUUCAUGUGCGGGUGAAGUCCAUUGAUGGUUUCCAAGGAGAAGAGGACGAUAUAAUAAUACUAUCAACUGUUAGAUCCAAUGGGAGAGGAGCUGUUGGAUUUCUUGCUGAUAACCAAAGAACAAAUGUCGCUCUUACUAGAGCAAGGCACUGUCUUUGGAUUGCUGGGAAUGCUCAUACAUUGUAUAAAAGUGGGACCGAAUGGACAGACCUUGUUGCUGAUGCAGAAAUACGUAAAUGUGUUUUCAGUGUGACUAAUGACGCAAUCAUCUGUAGGUUGGUUUUGCAAGUAAAGCAAGAGCUUGAUGAACUUGAUGAUCUUCUUAAUGCUGAUUCUGUGGUUUUCAGCAAUACCAGAUGGAAGGUCAUUCUUAGCGAAGAGUUUAGGAAGUCUUUUACCAAACUAAAAUCAACACAGCUCAGGAGGGAAGUACUCCAAAAGCUUAUCAAACUUGGAGGUGGUUGGAGGGCAACAGUUAAGAACCUUGAUAUACCUGGUGUUUCUCAUCUUGCAAAAGUAUACAAGGUUAGGGAUCUGCAUCUUGUAUGGAGUACUGACAUGGAGAAAACCGAAAGAAGGUAUUUCCAGAUAAUAAAAAUUUGGGACCUACUGUCACAGCAAAAUGUUGGAAGAACUGUUCAACGUCUCGAGAAUUUGUUUUCCAUGUACACGGAUGAUUACCUGGAUCACUGCAGGAGAGUGCAGACACAGGGGAAACUGGAGGUUCCUAAGGUUUGGGAUGUUGAGCAUGAUAUUAUUCGCUAUAACAUGGAUUUCAAAUUUGAUGCUCAUAAAGAGCAUGAUCUCGUGGAUACAUCAUAUGCCAUGGAGAAUUCAAAAGUUAAUGAAAGCUUCUUGCUGAUGAAGUUCUACUCAUUAUCAUCUGGAAUGGCAAAGCAUUUGCUGACAGCUACUGAUGGGUCUGAAAUCAACAUCCCCUUUGAACUGAGUGAUGAAGAAAAGGUGAUAAUCCAAUUCCCGCUCACUAGUUUUAUACUUGGGAGGUCGGGCACCGGAAAAACCACUGUAUUAACAAUGAAACUGAUUCAAAAAGAGAAACUGACAUUGAUCGCAUCCCAAGGUCUAAAUUUGGAUGGAGCUGAUUUGUCUGUGGCAGGUGACAAUAAUAUUAUGCCACUAAAGAAUGUAGGAGAAAGUUAUGUGAAACAACUAUUUAUCACUGUGAGCCCAAAGUUAUGUUCAGCCAUAAAAGAUCACAUCUGCAGACUUAAAAGAUUUGGCACUGGUGAUGUCUCUGAUCAGCCAAGCAUUCUUUGCAUGCAUGACAUCAUGGAUGACCUGGAAGAGUUUACAGAAAUUCCUGACAAUUUUUGUGAUCUACCUCAUGAGCAAUAUCCUCUUACUAUAACAUAUCGUAAGUUCUUGAUGAUGCUUGAUGGCACAUGCCGAACAUCAUUUUUCGAUGCAUUUUAUGGUGAAAUGAAGUCUAACUUUGAGAGAGGCCAUUCAAGAUCUCGUGCAGUGCAAACUUUUAUUGAAUUGAAUGAAGUUACGUACGAAAAAUUUGCUACUUUCUACUGGUCUCGUUUUAAUAAAGAUCUGACCAAGAAAUUUGAUGCGUCCACUGUCUUCACUGAAAUAGUUUCUCACAUUAAGGGCGCAUAUCCAGCAAGUGGGCCUUAUACUGGCAAACUGGGAAGACAAGAUUAUGUCAUGCUCUCAGAUAAAAGAUUUUCAUCUUUGAACAAAGAGAAAAGAAAUAAAGUUUAUGAUAUAUUCCUUCAAUAUGAGAGUAUGAAAUGCGCUGCCAGGGAGUUUGAUUUGUCAGAUUUUGUCAGUAGUCUUCACAGUAGUCUUGCAUCUGAGUGCUACAAUGGAGAUAUGGUGGAUUUAGUUUACAUAGAUGAGGUACAGGAUCUGACAAUGACACAAAUAGCACUUCUUAAGUAUGUCUGCAGGAACAUGAAGGAAGGCUUCCUUUUUGCUGGUGACACUGCACAGACUAUAGCAAGGGGUAUUGAUUUUAGGUUUGAAGAUAUCCGUUCACUCUUUUAUACUGCAUUCCUCGCAGAAACUGAGGAAUUUAAUCAAGGACUUAAACAUGGGGUCCAUCUCUCUGAUAUGUUCCAAUUGUCUCAAAAUUUCCGCACACAUUGUGGCAUCCUCCGUAUGGCACAAAGUAUCAUGAGCCUUCUGUGCUUCUUUUUUCCAUCAAGUGUUGACAGGCUUAAUCCAGAGACUGGACUUGUAUAUGGAGAAGCUCCUGUGCUGCUGGAGUCCGAUAACGAUGAAAAUGCAAUUAUGAGUAUUUUUGGAGAAAGCAAAAGUAAACAUGGUAAUCUGCAUGGCUUUGGUGCUGAGCAAGUCAUAUUAGUUCGUGAUGAUGCUACCAAAAAACAAAUUAUUGAUCUUAUUGGUAAACAAGCUCUUGUUUUGACUAUUGUUGAAUGUAAAGGCCUUGAAUUUCAGGAUGUGCUGUUGUACAACUUUUUUGGUUCGUCGCCUUUAAGAAAUAAAUGGAGAGUUCUGUAUGGCUACAUGAAAGAUAAAGAUAUUAUAGCACACUCCGAGGGGAUCUCUCACCCAGAUUUCGACAGAAGCAAGCAUUAUCUACUCUGUUCAGAGCUGAAGCAACUCUAUGUUGCAAUCACACGCACUAGGCAAAGAUUGUGGAUAUGUGAAAAUACAGAGGAUUACUGUCGACCAAUGUUUGAGUACUGGAAGAAGUUGUGUCUUGUAGAAGUUAGAUUACUUGAUUCUUCCCUCAUCCAGGCCAUGAAGACAGGGAGCAGCAAUGAUGAUUGGAGGCUACGGGGAACCAAGUUAUUCAAUGAGGGGCAAUUCGAGAUGGCUACUAUGUGUUUCGAAAAGGCUGGUGAUGCACACAGAGAGAAGUGGGCAAGAGCUGCUGGACUUGUAGCAACUGCUGACCGUGCCAUCUCCACAAAUUUGGAGUUAGGCAAGGCUUCAUUGCAAACAGCAUCAGAAAUUUACGAGGCCAUAGGAAUGCAUGAGAAAGCUGCUAUGUGCUAUAUCAAAUUAGGGGACUACAAAAGAGCAGGUAUGGUGUACAUGCAAAAAUGUGGUACUUCUAGACUUGAGGAUGCUGGUGACUGUUUCGCUAGGGCUGAAUGCUGGUCAGAGGCAGCUGAAUGCUGGUCGGAGGCAGCUGAAGUGUUCUUCAAAGCUAAAUGUUACACCAAGUGUUUCUCCAUGUGCUCAAAAGGAAAGCAGUUAUUCAAUCUGGGCUUGCAGUUUCUGCACCAAUUGGAGGAGGAACAUUCGCUUGAGAAUUCAGAACCCUUGGAGGUUUCUACAAUUAGAUCGAAGUAUCUGGAUAUUUGUGCUCAACAUUAUUUUGAGUGUGGUGACAUAAAGCAUAUGAUGCCUUUUGUUAAGGCUUUUAGUUCUACGGAUCAUGUACAUGCAUUCUUAAAGUCUAGGAAUCUUCUUGAUGAACUGUUUAGUUUAGAGAUGGAAAUGUGUAAUUUCAUUGAAGCUGCAGGAAUAGCAAGGCAUAAAGGAGAUGCCUUGCUGGAGGUGAAAAUGCUUGAGAAGGCAGAUUUGUUUGAGGAUGCAACGCGGCUUCUCCUCCUCCACAUCACUGUAAAUUCCUUCUGGUCUUUAAAUAAUAAAGGGUGGCCUCCCAAAAGAAAUCCAGAGAAGGAACAGUUGCUUGCAGAAGCCAAAGAGAUGGCGAAGAAGGUCUCUGAUUGCUUCCACUCCUUUGUUUGCCUGGAAGCUGAUGCACUGUCAGGUGUGAUAAAGUCUCUUCCCAAUUUAAUUUGCACUUUGUUUGAGGGCAGAAAAUGUGGAAACUUGUUUGUCGAAUUUAUUGCUUCCCGUUUGAUCAUUGAUGUUCAUCUUCAGUCUCGAACCUCUGCAUACAAUUUAGAGAGAGGGCCAGGAUCUGAAGAUGAAAAUAGUUGUAAUGAUAUGCUGGCUUCUAACCAGAUGUCACCCCAUACUCUGUUUUAUGUCUGGAAUCACUGGAAGUCGAUCAUACUCAAAGUACUAUCUCAUCUUCGCCACACUGAUGGUCCAGAAUUAAAUGAUUACACAGUUAUGCAUGAAGAACUUUUCGCCAAGUACUUUGGAUUGAGAAAAGAUGAUGAAGUUGAUAGAUAUGUGGUGCUUAACAAGAAUGCAAGUUGGCUUUCUAAUGCUGGCAGAAGUUCUUUGCAGCAAGAUGGCAACAGAUGUUUAUUGGAUGCUCCUCAGUGUCAUUUAUGUGCUAAGUAUUUCUGGGUGAAUGAGCUGUAUUCUGUUGGUUUCAGUGUACUUAAGAAGUUGGAGCCAUUAGUUCACAUUUCUCCAAAGCCACAAUCUUUGUAUACCCUGGUGAGAACAAACGUUAUUAUAAAUGAGAUAGCAAAGUUUUUGGAAGAACCACAGUUCGGUAUGCCAAAAAUGAAGUUAAAAAGCUUCUUUGUUCUCUGUGAGCGUCGCUUCUUUGAGUUAGUUUUUCUUACGUGGAGAGAUGGGACAACAAGGAGCCUCUUGCGUAGAUUUGACUCACCAGCUACAUAUGGAUUGAUUGCUGAUUCUCUUAGUUCACAUCUUCGGCGAACAGAUAAUAAUUUGACUCAUGGGCAUCUUGGGAGAACAACCAUGCUUCUGCUUCAUGCAGCACGAUUGGAUGAUGCGCUACUUUCAAGACUACUACAUUACCUGGACAACAAUUCCAAGUGGGCAGGUUUUUAUCGAUGUUUUAAGAGAUUUGUUGAUACUGGUGCUGAUAGAUCCCACUUGAUCUUGUACUUUGAGCUUGCUCUUGAAUUUACAUUCAGUUCUGUGAUAUGGAGGGAUGAACUGGACUAUAUAUCCCCAAUAUGCUAUGUGGGUCUGAUGGAGUGCCUUGGUUUCAUGGCUUCAUCAUACCUUCUACAGAAAGGUUGUAUAUACUGCACGAAGUCUGUGUUGGUCAAUAUGCUGGAGUGCCGUACCAGCAAGUUUUACCUUGACACCUGCCUGGCAUCUAAUUCGAGCCCAGAUGAUGAUCUUGAUCGUAUGGCACACUCAUCAGGGAGUUUCAUAUUUUAUACAAUUAUGACUAUGUUGACAAACAAGGAUAUGCUAUGGGAGUGGGUACAGAAGACGGCAACUCCUAGUUCAUACUCCGAGGUCCUCCUGAGACUAGUGGUCACACUUUAUACACUGAUUCUAACUCAUGGUCUUGUGUUCAAAAGAAUAACUAAUGAUCUGCGGAAUUGCUAUGAACUCACAAAUACUCUUCAGCGGUGCGGAGUCUUUGAGCAUUUGCCUUUGGAGUUCUCUGAGAAGAUGGUGCAUGUUUUGCAAAUAAGGCCUCGCACGCCGAGCAACUUCACAAGAAUGCUUGCUGAUGCACUGGACGCAGUCGGAGAUCCUAUGGUAGUUAUGGUAGGCUCACCCAAACUCCCAGCAAUCUGUCGGAACAUAAAUGCUUAUAUGAUUAUUAAGGAGGAUUUGUAUGAUGUUCUGAAGAUAAUGGCUCUUCUUCGUCCUGGGGAGCCAAGUUGUCUAAAGCAAGAGGCUGCACUGCCAGAAAAAUCUGAUGUUAACAAAAACAUUCCCAAGGCUGUACAAGAUAAUAAGGCGGAGAGUAAAGGUGAAAUAGAUUUAAGUGAUGAGAAUACCCCCUUCUGGGAUAAGUUUGAGACGUUUCAAGUCAACAAGCAAGGCCAGAAAGAUGCAAGGUUCAUUGUUCAAUUCCUUAGGAAUGCCCUCUCACGGCUGGAGCAAACACGCUUCCAAGAAAAGAUUGAUGCACAGUUGUUGGAAGAGUUCAGGCACAUCUGCAGGGAGUUCGAAGAACGUUCUGCCAGUGCCAGGUAA
Molecule: ribosomal RNA, 7974 nt
Filed under: Triticum aestivum (bread wheat)
Lineage: Eukaryota; Viridiplantae; Streptophyta; Magnoliopsida; Poales; Poaceae
Description: partial small subunit ribosomal RNA
Source: RNAcentral